UACGUAGGGCGCAAGCGUUAUCCGGAAUUAUUGGGCGUAAAGAGCUCGUAGGCGGUCUGUUGCGUCGGCUGUGAAAACCCGGGGCUCAACCCCGGGCCUGCAGCCGAUACGGGCAGACUAGAGUUCGGCAGGGGAGACUGGAAUUCCUGGUGUAGCGGUGAAAUGCGCAGAUAUCAGGAGGAACACCGGUGGCGAAGGCGGGUCUCUGGGCCGAUACUGACGCUGAGGAGCGAAAGCGUGGGGAGCGAACAGG
This 253-nucleotide ribosomal RNA is filed under the name uncultured bacterium. Its description in RNAcentral is "partial 16S ribosomal RNA". It matches the Rfam family "Bacterial small subunit ribosomal RNA", at positions 524 to 776 of the family's 1533-position model. The record is from RNAcentral.